UUCCAGCUGCCUUUCUCCUGCCCCCUCCUCUAGUUUUCUGCCAAUCCAUUCGGUUUCAUGUGACUUUAAAUAAAUUACAUCAAAUAUUGUUAAAAUGUUAAAUUAGUCUGACGGAAGAUAUCUGAUUUAUUUCAGAUGCCACGAGCUAUGAAAUGAAGCUCUUUGGGCCAUUAGAGUUUAUCUUUGUGAAAGUACAGGGCAAGAUUGAAUUGAAAUCUAUUUGUGUUUGAGUAAUAUUGACAAUCAGAGCCCCAAUAUCCAUCUGAGAUGGCUGUUGAGUGGGAAAGGGGGGAGGGAGAAUUGGCUUGCGCAGAAGCAAAUACCUCAGGUGGAAAGUCAACUUUUAAAUUUUAUGCCUUCUUUAUGCAUGAAGUAUUGAGAGAUGAAAAAGGAAGACACAAGGAAGCCAGUGGGGAAUGGUGAGUAGAAGAUGCUAGACACUGAAGCUAAUUGCUACAGCUCUUCAGAGGUCAAAGUUCAUGUAAUCACUGCAUAAAUGCAUACUAAAUAGGGAUUUAUUAAGCUUUCCUGAUGGCUGAGCACGUCUGUGAAAAAUGGUCACUGCUGUUUGUGUUUCCUCCUUAAGAAUAAUCAUUCUUAAAGUAGAAGCUCUAGGCAUUUCAGGCUUUCAUUUAUUUUGAGAGACAGGCAACUCCUGUGCUUAAAAAUAUUGAAAUUAGUGCAUGAACAACAUCUUUCUUUAUAUUGGAUGGGGCUGUAAAAGAAACGCUAGGGCUUUUUCAGUACAUACAAGAACACACUUUAGUUAGCAUGCCACUAUUGGGAUAAGCUAGUCACUGGUCAACUUUGGUGACCCUCUGCCUUAGAUAAGUCCCCUUUGUGCCUGCAUUUGUGAGAACACACAAAAAUUCUGCCUUAGGACUCCUUGUGCCUAAAUGACCAGAAUUGAAUGGGACCCACAUCCCUAAUCUCUCACUCUAUGGAUCAGAAAAAGGCACCCAGAGGUGGAUUGGUUUGACUGAGAGCACAGUCAGUAUCCAUACUCUUACUUCCUAAAUAAAAAAACAGGGCAGCUUAGAACCUGAGUCCAGUGCACUUUUAAAUUCUAAAGUCCUGAUUCAAUUUUGUCCCUCCCUGAUUUAUUCCAUGUAAUUUGUUUCAGACUAGAUAUGAUUUAUUUUUCCAUUUUUGCUUUACUGGCCACCCACUCAGUCAGGUCCUUGACUUUGAGGCCAUUAGGAAUACCGAAUCUUUGAAACAACCUCUGAGUUGAAUGCUUCUGCCAUCUUGUUUGAAUAAUAAAAUGUGCUACUUACCUUUAAAUACAUAUGUUCUUAAAAUAUAAAAAUAAAAAUCUGGAGGGCAAGUAAAAUUCAACACACACACACAUAUUUCUGUUUUGUUUUUAAACUUGGAUGGGAAAGAAUAAAUGAAAGAGGAGUUGCCUUCACACAAAUUCGACCUCCAUUAAAUUGUCAAGAAGUAUCAUCUAGAAGGGGCUUCAAGAUGCAAGGGACAUUCCAGGAGGGGUUCUAACUCUGAACCUUUUAAAAAUGUGUUUGCUUUUUCUGGCUAGUUUGUGGCGCAGCAUACCUUCUAAAUUGUUCUGACUCACAUAUCUUAAUUUUUUCCAAGACUCACUCAUGUACCUAACACACACACACACACACACACACACACACACACACACACACACACACCCAAGCCCAAACUAUUAACAUAAAGUCUCCUUGCAAUACAACUUUCCACAUUCUCCUCCAUCUCAUCCCCAUGGGGUCCUACUGAUCUCAGCAGAACCUGAUGCCCAAAGGGACAUCAAUGGUUGUCAGUGUUUGAAGAGGUGAGCUGGAAUCCUCAGCGCUUUAGUGCCUUAUUUUUAAUAGCACCAGCCAUCAAAUACAGCUAGCUGACCUUUGAUAGCAGAACUACAAACAAAAUAUCAAUUAAACAAGUAUGUUCAGUAGGCGCUAGCCUCUAAACACCUUUUUUUUUUCCUUAGGCAACUCUAAACCCUCAUCAUAUCCUGCAAAACAUCCUUAAAUGACUGCAUUUUGAGUUUACUGGAAAAAAUGAAAAGACCAAUGUCUCUUUUUGCAACAUGUUCAAACACAACUAAAACACGUGUCUCUAUUUUUAAUCAGCCCAUUACAUUUUACUCGUAUUAAAAACGUGUUGGUAAAACGUCUAAUCACAAGGUUAAUCUAUAGAAAUCAGAUUUUUUUGUAUUUUCAUUUAGGCUUGUGUGGUUAAUCGGUUGGGAAAAAAUACACAAAUGCUUGCAACAGAAAAUAAAACAAAAAUUAUUGAGCGACUUUUCUUUUCAAACUGGGACACGUUUUAGCCGCGUUGGACAUUUUUACGAUUUACGACCCACUUCGUUCUAAGUCGCCACAGAACCUUAACAAGAAUGCAGAAAGCCACGAUUUAAAAUGGUACCCCCAACUCCCAACCCCCGAAAUAUCAGCAACACGGUUCUGGCAAAGUAUGCACGGGAAUUUUCCCAUCCUGAGGAACAGAUGGGGUCUUUCCUUUAGGAUGCGCAGGGGUCAGCUGUCCAAGGCUUGGGAAGAGGUCGGCUCGGGCGAUCGAGUCGCUCGGGCAGCGGCGGCCGCGGGAACUCCGGCUCUGCUGGGGCCGCGGGGAGCGGGCGGGGGGCACCAGCGCCUGCCCCCGGCCGGCUAGGCCGCGGCAACUGCGAGAGGAGAUGCCGCAGGACCUUCGCGACCCUGCGGGGUUGUAGAGGAGCCCCGACGCCGAGGUCAGGACGGCUUUCCUUCCUUGGCUUCCCAGCCUUCACCCUCUGAGUUCUUGACCCAACGCCGCCGUUCCGUUUCUCCUGCUUCCUGGGCCCCAGGCAGAGCACGAAGGGAGGAGCAUCCGGGCUCUUCCCUGGCCUGCAGGCUUCGCGCCUCUGGAUGGACCUGCGCCGGUCCGGGGCGGGAAAGGAGCAGCAUCCGGGCUCUUCCCUGGUUCGCGCUCAGAGCCCAGCACCUUGGGCCUGAGCGUUUCCCGGCCCGCGUCGGUGGGUGGUUUCGGAGGGAAGGGAAAGUGAGUCCGGACAGGUCCCCGAGGCUGCGAAGAGCUCCGCUUUGUCUCGGGGGACAAUGAGGCCUCACGUUUCUUUCUGCCAGCGUCGCCCAGCUUCAAGCGCUCCUGAGGCGCGGUCUGAGCUGCCCCGGGCCGCCACCUGACUCUCCCGAAGAGGGCUUCGGGACCCAACACUUCCUCAGAGAAGGAAACCCAGACAUGGAGUCUCACUAUGUGGCCCGGUUGGCCUUGAUCUCCUGGACUCAAGUAAUCAUUCCACUUCAGCCUCCUAAGUAGCUGGGACUGCAGACACAUGCCACCACACCUGGCUUUGACUUUUGCAGGGCAGUGGUCAGGUGCUCCUGAGCAUGGUCCAGCUCCUCUUCAACCUGCUGGAUCCUACGAUUCAAGGAGGCCACCUCAGCCUCAGCCUGUUUCCGGCCCACUUUUCUUCCUCAACUUCUCACUGGAGGCCCUCAGCUCUCUCCUCUGCAUCAUCUGCCUGCUGCUGCAGAACCUGGAUAUUGCACUUCACUUCCUCCAUGGUGGCGAUCCCAGCCAUGGUGCCCACCCAGCUACUGCUCCAGUUCUGGUUCCUGCCUCUUCUGCUCAGCAUUGCAGCUGCUUCUCCUUUCUUUUAUUUUUCUGUAUUAAGUUUUGUUCCCUUUUGUUUUUAAAGCAACAGAUGAAAGGAGAUAAAAAUGUCAAGGAAAUACUGACUUGAACUUUAUAAAUAUUGGUUCUGAUUGGGGAUGAUAAAACAGGUAAAAGAAAGGAGCUGAAGUAUGACUGAAGGAAUCAGAUUUCUCUAACCUUGAUAUUCAAAUUGUAUUCUAUAGAUAUAAAUAGCAAGAUUCUUUAGCAUUUGGAGUUAAUUAAAUUGUGAGGAAGUUAUCAGGGCACAUUUUGUGUUCUUCAUUACUCUGAGAAACUUUUCUGAGGUUCAUUGAGAAAAAUAUUUUUAAACUCUGUGAAAUCCAAGUAACUCUGGAGGAAAAGCAAAUUGAGCAAUUUGUUCUUUCCUCUUUGAGGUUUGAUAAGGUGUAAAAAUGUAUUUAACAAAGCAACUUCUUUUUCCUUAAAAAUUUUGAUCAAUAACCCUGAAAAAGUUUUUAAAAUUCAAUUCAGUAUGUUAAUUGUAUGCUUUCCAUAAAUACAUUUUUUGAAUAUUUAAGGUAACAGUUUCAGAAACAUAACUGAAUAGCUUGCUUGUUCUUGAACAAAGAGUUUGAAUCUACGAUGAACUAAAUUAAGUUAUGUCUUCCCAAGUAGUCCACUUAGACACUGACUUGUUACCCUCUUUCUCAAGUCCAGUUUUUCUGAGACUGGACCAGUUACAUUAGGAUAACUUUGGGUCUUUAGGUGUGAUUAUUGUAUUGUGAUAGUGCUAAAAAUAUUCAUUCUUUUUAGAGAUACAAACUGAACUGUUAGUGGAUAAAAUGUCAGGAUAUUUGGGAUUAUUUUAAAAAUAAAUUAGGAUGAAGGGUAAAUGAGUGGCAGUGUAGAUGAAACAAGACUGGCCAUAUGUUUAUUUAUGGAAGGUGAGUGAGGAGUAUGUGGGUAAUGUUAUAGUAUUCUCUCUAAUUUAGUUUAGGUUUAAAAUUUCUAUUGCAAAUAGUUAAAAGAAUCACUUGUGGUCUUGUUAAAAAUUCAGAAUCCUGGACUCCACCAUAGAUCUUUCAAGUCAGAGUCUCAAGGAUGAAAGAUAGAAAAUGGCUUUUAAAGUAGUCCACUUGUGCUCACUGAAGUUUGAGGAUCACUGGUAAAAAGUUUCCUUGUGUACCUCACUCAUUGUGUAUCCAUGUCAUCCAUGUGUGUAUUUAGUGGUUUUCAUCAUUCACCCUAUUUUCCCAUUUGCGGAAUGCAAUGGCAAGUUAAAGCAAUUAUACUGAAUUUGGAUAAUUCAAACUUUAAAAUUUUGUUUCAAAGCAUUCAUAAAGUGAAGCCAAAUAAAAUUUAAAAAACCUUUAUUUUUAACUGAAAUAAUCAGAUAAAUACGUUGGCUUUUUUUCCACUUUCAGCUGGGAAUGGAUUACUUUUGUGAAUGUCUUAAAUUUCUUCUCUUACCAGGGCAUCAGCAUCCUAUUCCAGACAUCUACUUGCUUUCACCAGUAGUUCCUUGUUCUUUCUCAGAUGUACCAUAUUACCAGGCACCUCUGAGACUUUGCCUAUGGGAUUCCCUCUAAUUGAGGCAUUCAUCAAUCCCCUCUUUACCUGGUUAAUUUCUAUACCUUCUCCCCACCGCUAACACCUCUCACUUAUUCAGGGAGGCCAUUAUUGUAUUUGCAAGGUUGGAUUGCAUUCUAUUCUUUUGUGGUUCCAUAAUAUGCUGUAAUACAAUAGUGCUAUAAUGCUGAACAUGCUAUAUAGCACUUUACACUUUGUCAUAAGACUCUAUUUUUCUGCCCUCCUCUCUCUCUUCAGCUUGACUAUAAAGUCAGUUAGUUAAAGAUUGUGCGUUUUAUGAUCGUAUCUCCACUGCUGUGUACUGUGCCUGGCACAUAGGAAAUACUUACUGAAUACAUGACGAACAGCUGAAUGAGUUCACAAAGUAGCUAUCUAACAUGCCCAAGCAUCUUAGGAAGUGUUGCAGUCAUUCUUUACGGC
Molecule: long non-coding RNA, 5595 nt
Organism: Gorilla gorilla gorilla (western lowland gorilla)
Lineage: Eukaryota; Metazoa; Chordata; Mammalia; Primates; Hominidae
Exons: 3
Source: RefSeq, a predicted model, not a curated record